UUCUAAUAUGGCAGAAUAGUGCCAUGGAUUUAAGCUCCAUAUAUAAAAAUUUUUAUUUUUUGUUAGAA
RNAcentral lists this transfer RNA (68 nucleotides) under Brillia brevicornis. Its description in RNAcentral is "tRNA-Leu". Lineage: Eukaryota; Metazoa; Arthropoda; Insecta; Diptera; Chironomidae. The record is from RNAcentral.